AAGGGAGGAAAGCGCCGGCAGUCGGCGCCGAGCCGUUCCCGCGUGGUCUCAUUGUUCCUGCCUCGAUUUCACGUCUAAACCUUCCGCGAUGGUACUUCCCGAUUACGACUUUCGAUCUACCGCGAUAUUUAGAGGGUAGAGAUUUAAAGAGCGGCAGACACUGUUUCAUAAGAUCUAUGUGAAGAUCUAUCAGCAUGGCCAUCAUGCAGACCUGCUGCUGCUGGCAGUCAGUUCGCAAAGGCAGCUAUGCCUGUAGCGUUUACACGCUGAUAUACUAUUCAUUGUUAGCGUGGACUACAAGUACGAUUUUUUUGGAGGAGAGUCAGUACCUGAAGGGAAAUGUUUCCCUACCAAAAUCUUCCAGCCUUCUAGAAUCGGGGACCAUAUCACCAACGACGAUUCGAUUCAACGGAAUGCUGCUUAUCUGCUCCUGUUGCGGCGUGCUGUGCAGCCUCCUUCUUUUGUACGGUUUAUUGAAGAACCAUAAACUGUUACUGAUACCGUGGAUCAUCGUAAUUAUUACGACCGGCAUCACCGACUUAGCACAUACUUUAUAUUUGCUCAUUGCCACACUUGACCUUAGUCCGACAAAAGUUAUGAUCUACACGUUCAGUUUCUUUCUACUUUGUUUAAACAUAUACUCGCUAUUGUGUGUCAUCUCGCAGUAUCAAGAAUAUUCAGCUGGUCGUGGCACUGCUGCGCACGAAUACAGGGUUCCAGUAGUGAGAUACAUGACUCAACCACCAACUACGACCGCUACCACAUCGUGUCCAAGUUCACGAAGAGGCGUGACCAAUAACGAGACAAAAGCAACACCGACUCAGAGUCCCACAAUAUGUCACAAUCCUCUGUUAUCGGAGAAAAGUCCGAGUACCGGGAGUCGGGUAUCACGAAAACAUGUACAGUUUCCAUCAUCGAGUCAGAUAGAGAGGCCAGGAAACGAGUUUACGGUCAUUGCAUUUGAUGACGAUCCAGUGGUUCGGAGAGAUUGAGUUUGAACAACGUUCCCAAAGAGGAGAAGGGGAUAUUACGGGUAUUGUGGACAUUACGGUUACUCCUAAGCCAAUACACAAUAACUGACAAUUAUUAUAAGGCAUUUUUACUUUUGAACGCACUUAGAAUCAUUUCCGAGUCAGUUACAGGAAAUUUCAAAUUUAAACAAACAGAGUAUACGUAUCUUGGAAAAAUUUUGUCUUGUAUCUAGUCUAGAAGAGGAAUCGGCGUUGGAUCGUCCUGAUAUAAAUAACAUGCAGAGACAUAUUCGAUGGCACGGAGUGCAUAAUAUAUUUUGUGCAAUUGGGACCCUUCCAAAAAAUUGGUGUAGUGAACACCCACUCAUAGUGAAAUUUCUCCAUUGUGAAAUUAAUCCAAUAGCAGAGAUCCUAGUAAAAUAUUCAUCGACAAUUGAGCGCAACGCAAGGGCCUGACAGCAACCCAACGAUUCUAUAACGAUUGUGAAUAUCAAUUUUCCCCGACGACAACAAGCAUAAUCAUUGCUCAUAAGAAAAAUAUAGACUUUGAAGCAUAAUUACAUUUAAUUAUUAAUAUUCCAAAUAUGUAUGUGAUAUUGUACGAUCUCGGUGAAGAAUCUAUUAUAUUAUUAUUGUUGUAAAUAUAUUGAAAUUUAUUGAUGGAUAAAGGAAAAUCUCAUAAA
Molecule: RNA transcript, 1654 nt
Organism: Solenopsis invicta (red fire ant)
Lineage: Eukaryota; Metazoa; Arthropoda; Insecta; Hymenoptera; Formicidae
Exons: 14
Source: RefSeq, a predicted model, not a curated record